Long non-coding RNA from Spinacia oleracea (spinach), 1189 nucleotides. RefSeq lists it as uncharacterized. The record is from RefSeq and is a predicted model, not a curated record. NCBI's taxonomy places the organism in Eukaryota, Viridiplantae, Streptophyta, Magnoliopsida, Caryophyllales, Amaranthaceae. The transcript is spliced from 5 exons.
AAAAGUAAAUAUUGUGUAAACAAGAGGGUUAGGACCAUACGUUCUAAAUAUACGAAAAUACUAGAUGCUCUAAAACUUAUGACAUAUUACAUAUGUUGUCAGUGGCGGACCUAGGCUUGGGCAACCUAGAUCACGUGACCCACUAAUAUUUUAAAAAAAAAAAUUGAAAAAAAAAUUACGCGCUCCAAUCCCUCUGUGGAAGUUGGAAAAGCCAAAUCAAAACACAAAACCUAAUCCCUGACUCCCCUCUCUUCGACGCAGUCACGACUCACGCAGGCCGCAACCGGCCCACCAGCCACCGCCCACCACUCCACCAGGUCAUCCGAGUUCCGACCACCGAAGACCGAACCCAGAUCCGCUCAUCCGCAGCAGAACCGAGUCAGUCCGUGGUCGCGGCGAAGAAGAACCGAGCAGCAUCGACUCGUCGAGCACCGAGGAAGAGGAGGAGCUGAGGAGCAGCGACUAGCCAAGCACCGACGGACGAGCGGAGGAGGCGAGGACUCGAGGAGGAGCCGCCGUCGAGCAGUGCUUGCUUCUGCCUAGGCUCGUGAUUUGAGUUUUGAGCAAAGAAAAUGGAGAGGCGUCGAGAUUAGGUUUCAGAAAUUGAUGGUGUUUUUAAUGAUUAAAUAAGACUGUUGCUGUUGGAAAUGCUGCUGGAGUUGGAACUCAUUCCUGUGCUGAAUGUGCUUCUGAAUGUGCUGCUGAAUAUCGAUGGUACUAAGAACCAGACUUACUGCCUUUGUUUAUAUGGAAGUCUUGGAGAUACAUGAUGCAAGUCAUGCAACAACACAUCUUCAGGUAUGAGUUUAAAACAAAUCAUGGAGAAUGGAUCACUUCAAUGAAAUCAAAUUUUGGGGAUAAUGUAUCAGGACGUGUUCGUACAGCAAUCAAGUCAUUGUGUUCUACAUUACAGAAUCCUCUAAUAAGAGGCUGCGAGAUCUUCCAUUUCUUCUUCGAAGGUCAUUGAAUGAUUUGCUAGAUCCUCAAAGAUCUUUGCCAUUCGUCAUCAAAGCUCGGAUUUAUUUGGCAGUUAAGUGAACAACUCAAUUUACAACAACUUGUUUUCUUAUUCCUUCAUUGAGUUGUGUGUAGAGUAAAUUUCGGCCUUGUAAUUUCAAGUGUUCUUCAGUUCCAUAUAUGUAUUGAGUCCAGUGGACAUUAUCCCUGAAGGUACAAUAGUUCCAUUAAA